Molecule: long non-coding RNA, 182 nt
Organism: Juglans microcarpa x Juglans regia
Lineage: Eukaryota; Viridiplantae; Streptophyta; Magnoliopsida; Fagales; Juglandaceae
Exons: 2
Source: RefSeq, a predicted model, not a curated record
CAUGAUAUUCUGUGAUAUCCCAUAUAAUAAGGAUAAGGGCAGGUGGUGAAUGAGAUCCCACAUUGCUUGGGAAUGAGAAGUUCUUGCUCUUUAUAAGGUUCCAGUGGGGCUCCAAUUGUAUCAUUCACUAGUCCUUUUGGAGUAUAGACCAUGUGAUUUGGACUUUCUAUUGGGGCAUUACA